CAGGCCCCGCCCCCAGAGCGGGCCGCCCAUUCCCCGCCUCCACGCUCUCCAGUGUGGGGUCCGCCCUGCAGCCCCGCCCCCUAACCCCGGCCGGGUCGUUUCGGUCCCCAUUCCCCAUUCUUUCUCAGAAGACUCUUCAGUGGGUUCAGCACACGUCUCUCCUGUCCGCAACAGAGAAACAAGAUACCUGAGUGCCUCCCACGACCAUGUGACUUCUUACAGGGCAAGGACAGCCAUACCCAGCAAAGCUUCUAGUCCUCCUGGACCAUUGACCAUUUUGCGCAUUACAAGACGUGUGCAGCACCCCUGCCUCUGCCCAUUGGCUGUGAUGAUGAACAUGUCUCUGGACGUUGCCGAAAUUCCCGAGGGGGUCAAAUGCACACCCUCCUCCCAGAACCACUGCUCUAGGCCAAGGAGGACUCAGAAGAAGGAAAACAAAGUGAAGCAAGGUACGGAAACAGUUACUAAACAUUUUCCAUCCCAGCACUCUAUCUUCUUUAGAUGUUUAGAGUGGUGAUGGUGGGGGUAUGUGUGUAAAACCCUAGAGAAGUAAACAAUGCUCUUAAAUCAUGAAUCUCUAUCUCCUGGAAAACAAACUCUAUAACCCAGAGACAGAGAAAUAAUUUCUUUCUAGCUUCAUCAAAAGGCACCGCACUAACUAAUCCCCAGGCUCAUCAAAGUGUGACUCUCUGGAUUAGGAAGAAACAAAGGAAUAAACACUGCAUUGACAGUAUUUCUAAAAAUGGU
This 747-nucleotide long non-coding RNA is filed under the name Sus scrofa (pig). RNAcentral's name for it is "lncRNA (ENSSSCG00050037448.1)". Lineage: Eukaryota; Metazoa; Chordata; Mammalia; Artiodactyla; Suidae. The record is from RNAcentral.